ACAUGCAAGUCGAACGAAGUAGCAAUACUUAGUGGCAGACGGGUGAGUAACAUGUAGGUAUCUGCCCUUUGGCCUGGAAUAACACGAGGAAACUUGUGCUAAUACCGGAUAAGUCUUUACGGAGAAAGCUUUAUGCACCAUUGGAUGAGCCUGCACUUGAUUAGUUUGUUGGUAGGGUAAUGGCCUACCAAGACUGUGAUCAAUAGCUGAUUUGAGAGGAUGAUCAGCCACAUUGGGACUGAGACACGGCCCAAACUCCUACGGGAGGCAGCAGUGGGGAAUCUUGCACAAUGGAGGAAACUCUGAUGCAGCGAUGCCGCGUGAGUGAAGAAGGCCCUUGGGUUGUAAAGCUCUUUCGUCGGGGAAGAAAAUGACUGUACCCGAAUAAGAAGGUCCGGCUAACUUCGUGCCAGCAGCCGCGGUAAUACGAAGGGACCUAGCGUAGUUCGGAAUUACUGGGCUUAAAGAGUUCGUAGGUGGUUGAAAAAGUUGGUGGUGAAAUCCCAGAGCUUAACUCUGGAACUGCCAUCAAAACUUUUCAGCUAGAGUAUGAUAGAGGAAAGCAGAAUUUCUAGUGUAGAGGUGAAAUUCGUAGAUAUUAGAAAGAAUACCAAUUGCGAAGGCAGCUUUCUGGAUCAUUACUGACACUGAGGAACGAAAGCAUGGGUAGCGAAGAGGAUUAGAUACCCUCGUAGUCCAUGCCGUAAACGAUGUGUGUUAGACGUUGGAAAUUUAUUUUCAGUGUCGCAGCGAAAGCGAUAAACACACCGCCUGGGGAGUACGACC
Molecule: ribosomal RNA, 786 nt
Filed under: uncultured Pelagibacteraceae bacterium
Lineage: Bacteria; Pseudomonadati; Pseudomonadota; Alphaproteobacteria; Candidatus Pelagibacterales; Candidatus Pelagibacteraceae
Description: bacterial SSU rRNA
Rfam family: Bacterial small subunit ribosomal RNA
Source: RNAcentral